AGCUCCAAUAGCGUAUAUUUAAGUUGUUGCAGUUAAAAAGCUCGUAGUUGGAUUUCGGGAGGGUACCACCGGUCCGCCAUUGGUGAGCACUGGUGCGGCCUCUUUACUGGUGGUGACGGCGUUCUGGGGUUUGUUCCUCGGGAGUCGGAGUCACCGAUGUUACUUUGAGUAAAUUAGAGUGUUCAAAGCAGGCGAUCGCUGUGAAUACGAUAGCAUGGGAUAACACGAUAGGACUCUGGCCUAUCUUGUUGGUCUGUGGGACCGGAGUAAUGAUUAAGAGGGACAGUCGGGGGCAUUCGUAUUUCAUGGUCAGAGGUGAAAUUCUUGAAUUCAUGAAAGACGAACAUCUGCGAAAGCAUUUGCCAAGGAUGUUUUCA
This 377-nucleotide ribosomal RNA is filed under the name uncultured eukaryote. RNAcentral describes it as "SSU rRNA". It matches the Rfam family "Eukaryotic small subunit ribosomal RNA", at positions 587 to 972 of the family's 1831-position model. The record is from RNAcentral.